Zonotrichia albicollis (white-throated sparrow) is the source of this 753-nucleotide non-coding RNA. The record is from RefSeq and is a predicted model, not a curated record. NCBI's taxonomy places the organism in Eukaryota, Metazoa, Chordata, Aves, Passeriformes, Passerellidae.
AGCAAUGUUCUGAGGGAUCACACAGAAAACAAAUACAUCUCUGGGCCAGGCAGAGGAAGGCAUGAUAGAAAAGAAUUCCAAAGAUCCCAUUUUACAGUCACUGGAGUAGAGAGCAAUAUUCUGCUCACACCAGGCAUCAGCAGAAUGGCUUAGUCUUCAUCUCUCCUGGGGCUAAAGAUGAUGAGCUCAUCAAAUCUCCAUAACAAGUGUGGAGAAUAGCCAAGAGGAAGAAAGGGUGCAGAGCAAAGAACAAACUGCAGCUAGCAAAGGAAAUAUGCCUUUUAAAGUUGUAAGGAAGUGUUUCAUCUUCAGGCAUGAAGGAGCAAAGACAAAUCCUCUGUCACUGAGGUCAGUGAAAAUAUUUGUUUCCAUCUCUGUGACUAAAUGAAAUUCUGAUUCUUUGAUGACAAUGAAACAUUUGCUACCAAGUAAAAUGAUUCUGUCAUUUCAUUGUCUUAUUAUCAUAUUAUUGUUUUGCUAUGAAAAGUAAAAUCUCUUACCUUUCUGUUGUUCUUGAAAAUAAUACUUAGGUUUUCACAAUGUAUUUCCAGAGAGCUCUGAACUGUUAUUUGUCAUUAACUUUGUGUUUAGUUUUCCAGCAUUAUGCAUAUAUAAUCAAGUCUACCUUAUUCAGGGUAAUUCAACUUACCAUUCAAUCCUGUGUUUUUAGGGAAGGACAAUCUGCCUCUUUUAUUCAUGCAUAUAGUGUGACCCUCUCUUUGAGGCAUUACAGACUCUGCCUUAUUGGCCAGA